RNAcentral lists this ribosomal RNA (253 nucleotides) under uncultured bacterium. RNAcentral describes it as "partial 16S ribosomal RNA". It matches the Rfam family "Bacterial small subunit ribosomal RNA", at positions 524 to 776 of the family's 1533-position model. The record is from RNAcentral.
UACGGGGGGGGCAAGCGUUGUUCGGAAUUACUGGGCGUAAAGGGUUCGUAGGUGGCUGGCUAAGUCAGACGUGAAAUCCCGCGGCUCAACCGCGGGGCUGCCUCCUAGACUGCCGGGCUCGAGCACAGUAGAGGCAGGUGGAAUUCCCGGUGUAGCGGUGGAAUGCGUAGAGAUCGGGAAGAACAUCGGUGGCGAAGGCGGCCUGCUGGGCUGUUGCUGACGCUGAGGCGCGACAGCGUGGGGAGCAAACAGG